RNAcentral lists this transfer RNA (74 nucleotides) under Aerococcus suis. It matches the Rfam family "tRNA". Rfam says of the family: Transfer RNA (tRNA) molecules are approximately 80 nucleotides in length. Their secondary structure includes four short double-helical elements and three loops (D, anti-codon, and T loops). The record is from Rfam by way of RNAcentral. Lineage: Bacteria; Bacillati; Bacillota; Bacilli; Lactobacillales; Aerococcaceae.
CUUGGGAUAGCUCAGUUGGAUAGAGCAACGGUCUUCUAAACCGUAGGUCGUGGGUUCGAAUCCCACUCUCAAGA